AAAUAAGAAGCAUUAUAUGCAUUUAAUUUCGACUUAAAAGAUGAGAUACACACUCCUUAUUUA
This 63-nucleotide transfer RNA is filed under the name Cameraria ohridella. RNAcentral describes it as "tRNA-Arg". Lineage: Eukaryota; Metazoa; Arthropoda; Insecta; Lepidoptera; Gracillariidae. The record is from RNAcentral.